RNAcentral lists this ribosomal RNA (492 nucleotides) under uncultured bacterium. RNAcentral describes it as "partial 16S ribosomal RNA". It matches the Rfam family "Bacterial small subunit ribosomal RNA", at positions 29 to 507 of the family's 1533-position model. The record is from RNAcentral.
AGUGAACGCUGGCGGUAGGCCUAACACAUGCAAGUCGAACGGUAGCACAGUAAGAGCUUGCUCUUACGGGUGGCGAGUGGCGGACGGGUGAGGAAUACAUCGGAAUCUACUUUUUCGUGGGGGAUAACGUAGGGAAACUUACGCUAAUACCGCAUACGACCUACGGGUGAAAGCAGGGGAUCUUCGGACCUUGCGCGAUUGAAUGAGCCGAUGUCGGAUUAGCUAGUUGGCGGGGUAAAGGCCCACCAAGGCGACGAUCCGUAGCUGGUCUGAGAGGAUGAUCAGCCACACUGGAACUGAGACACGGUCCAGACUCCUACGGGAGGCAGCAGUGGGGAAUAUUGGACAAUGGGCGCAAGCCUGAUCCAGCCAUACCGCGUGGGUGAAGAAGGCCUUCGGGUUGUAAGGCCCUUUUGUUGGGAAAGAAAAGCAGCAGGUUAAUACCCCGCUGUUCUGACGGUACCCAAAGAAUAAGCACCGGCUAACUUCGUG